RNAcentral lists this ribosomal RNA (347 nucleotides) under Klebsiella pneumoniae subsp. pneumoniae KPNIH9. RNAcentral's name for it is "bacterial LSU rRNA". It matches the Rfam family "Bacterial large subunit ribosomal RNA", at positions 2586 to 2925 of the family's 2925-position model. Lineage: Bacteria; Pseudomonadati; Pseudomonadota; Gammaproteobacteria; Enterobacterales; Enterobacteriaceae. The record is from RNAcentral.
AUUUAAAGUGGUACGCGAGCUGGGUUUAGAACGUCGUGAGACAGUUCGGUCCCUAUCUGCCGUGGGCGCUGGAGAAUUGAGGGGGGCUGCUCCUAGUACGAGAGGACCGGAGUGGACGCAUCACUGGUGUUCGGGUUGUCAUGCCAAUGGCACUGCCCGGUAGCUAAAUGCGGAAGAGAUAAGUGCUGAAAGCAUCUAAGCACGAAACUUGCCCCGAGAUGAGUUCUCCCUGAGACUUUAAGUCUCCUGAAGGAACGUUGAAGACGACGACGUUGAUAGGCCGGGUGUGUAAGCGCAGCGAUGCGUUGAGCUAACCGGUACUAAUGAACCGUGAGGCUUAACCUUAC